AUGUCUAGCACAUCAAGGGUACUCAAGCAUCAUUCAGACCAUACAAGUCUAAGUCUGAUUAAAAAGCACUUUGAACAAUGCCUGGAGAGAACCUGUGGGCCUGUCUCCUUGCUUAUACCAAGGAACCACUAUCCUCUAGAACAGAAAAAGCCUAAGCGAAAGAAGCUACAGGAACACCAAGCAAACCAAGCAUAGGUCUUCCUCUGAGUUUCUUAGUUUGCUUAAGUCCAUGUGUUCUGCUCUGAAGUAGUGGGAGAUGGCAUGGCUGGCGAGAGGUUUCCUUUCAUGUAAAAAAUUAAAGAAAUGUAAAUUUUCUUGCAAAUCAUAGGUUUUGAAUAUUUGUUAAAUGAAUGAAUAAAUGGGAAUGAGUAUGAUUUUCUAUUAUAUAUAAUUUUUUAAGGAUUUUCUAUAUAUAGUAACAUGUCAUCUGCAAUUAGUGAAUGUACUUCUUUCUUACAAAUUUGGAUGCCUUUUAUUUCUUUUUCUUGUCUGACUGCUAUGGCUAGGACUCUCAGUUUCUACAUUGAGUAAAAGUGGUGAGAGUGGAUAUCCUUGUCUUAUUCCUGGUCGUAGAGGAAAAACUCAGUUUUUUACCUUGGAGAAUGGUAUUAGCUGUGGGUUUUCAUAUAUGGCUUUUAUAAUAUUGAGGUAUAUUGCCUCUAAGUCUACUUUGUUGAGAAUUUUAUCAUGAAUGGAUCUUGAACUUUUCAAAUACUUUAUCUGUGUCUAUUGAGAUGAUCAUAGUUUUUUUUUUCCCUUUCUCUUGUUAAAGUAAUAUAGCAUGUUGAUUGAUUUGUGAAUAUUGAACUGCCCUUGCAUCCCAGUAAUAAAUCCCAUUUGAUUGUGAUGAAUGAUUUUUUUGGAUGUAUUUUGGAUUCAGUUUGCUAGGGAGAUUUUUGCAUCUAUCUUCAUCAGUAAUAUUAGCCUACAAUUUUCUUUUUUGGUAGUGUCUUUAUCUGGUUUUGGUAUCAGGGUAAUGCUGGCCUCAUAAAAUGAGUUUGGAAUCUUUCCUUCCUCUUCUAUUUUUUGGAAUAGUUUGAGAAUAAGUAUUAACUCUUCUUUAAAUGUUUGAUAGAAUUCACCUGUGAAGUCAUUUGGUCCUAGACUUUUGUUUGUUGUGAAUUUUUUUUAUUACUGAUUCAACUUAAUUGCUAGUAAUAUGUUCAAAUUUUCUAUUUCUUCCGAUUCAGUUUUGGGCGAUUAUGUUUCUAGGAAUUUUUCCAUUUCUUCUAGGUUGUCCAAUUUGUUGGCAUAU
RNAcentral lists this long non-coding RNA (1255 nucleotides) under Canis lupus familiaris (dog). RNAcentral's name for it is "lncRNA (ENSCAFG00000058540.1)". The record is from RNAcentral. Lineage: Eukaryota; Metazoa; Chordata; Mammalia; Carnivora; Canidae.